UACGUAGGGUGCGAAGCGUUAAUCGGAAAUUACUGGGCGUAAAGGCGUGCGCAGGCGGUUCUAUAAGACAGAUGUGAAAUCCCCGGGCUCAACCUGGGAACUGCAUUUGUGACUGUAGAGCUGGAGUACGGUAGAGGGGGAAUGGAAUUCCGCGUGUAGCAAGUGAAAUGCGUAGAUAUGCGGAGGAACACCGAUGGCGAAGGCAAUCCCCUGGACCUGUACUGACGCUCAUGCACGAAAGCGUGGGGAGCAAACGGG
Molecule: ribosomal RNA, 258 nt
Filed under: uncultured bacterium
Lineage: Bacteria
Description: partial 16S ribosomal RNA
Rfam family: Bacterial small subunit ribosomal RNA
Source: RNAcentral